Non-coding RNA from Lophiotrema nucula, 147 nucleotides. Lineage: Eukaryota; Fungi; Ascomycota; Dothideomycetes; Pleosporales; Lophiotremataceae. The record is from the annotation of a GenBank genome assembly.
GGGCGCGUGGUCUAAUGGUAAGACGCUCACAACGAAAGUGACCAGGCGGCUUGCAACAGCGCACCUUUAAGUGGCUGGCCUGUGACGGGUUUGAGCGCGGCGAGGGGCUUCUGUGAGAGAUUCCACGUUCGAGUCAUGGCGUGUCCA